Small nuclear RNA from Hyaena hyaena (striped hyena), 102 nucleotides. Lineage: Eukaryota; Metazoa; Chordata; Mammalia; Carnivora; Hyaenidae. The record is from RefSeq and is a predicted model, not a curated record.
GCCACCCAGGUGUCCCCAAAAUAAAUUAACUUUAAAAAGAUAAGCAAGGCAUGGCCCCUGAGCAAGGAUGACACACAAAUUCGUGAAGCAUUCCAUAUUUUU